This 72-nucleotide transfer RNA is filed under the name Pirellulaceae bacterium. Its description in RNAcentral is "tRNA-Gln". It matches the Rfam family "tRNA". From Rfam's summary of the family: Transfer RNA (tRNA) molecules are approximately 80 nucleotides in length. Their secondary structure includes four short double-helical elements and three loops (D, anti-codon, and T loops). Further hydrogen bonds mediate the characteristic L-shaped molecular structure. tRNAs have two regions of fundamental functional importance: the anti-codon, which is responsible for specific mRNA codon recognition, and the 3' end, to which the tRNAs corresponding amino acid is attached (by aminoacyl-tRNA synthetases). tRNAs cope with the degeneracy of the genetic code in two manners: having more than one tRNA (with a specific anti-codon) for a particular amino acid; and 'wobble' base-pairing, i.e. permitting non-standard base-pairing at the 3rd anti-codon position. The record is from RNAcentral. Lineage: Bacteria; Pseudomonadati; Planctomycetota; Planctomycetia; Pirellulales; Pirellulaceae.
UACCCCGUGGUGUAAUUGGCAACACAGCGGAUUUUGGUUCCGCCAUUCCUGGUUCAAGUCCAGGCGGGGUAG